RNAcentral lists this ribosomal RNA (59 nucleotides) under Vibrio cholerae. The record is from RNAcentral. Lineage: Bacteria; Pseudomonadati; Pseudomonadota; Gammaproteobacteria; Vibrionales; Vibrionaceae.
UGGCGACCAUAGCGUUUUGGACCCACCUGACUCCAUCCCGAACUCAGAAGUGAAACGAA